Ktedonobacter racemifer DSM 44963 is the source of this 270-nucleotide non-coding RNA. It matches the Rfam family "HNH endonuclease-associated RNA and ORF (HEARO) RNA". The record is from Rfam. Lineage: Bacteria; Bacillati; Chloroflexota; Ktedonobacteria; Ktedonobacterales; Ktedonobacteraceae.
GUCAUGGACCCCGGUUUGAAAACCGGGGCUUGCAAGAAGUUUGAACGCUUCUUGUAACCCCCAACGGUUGGCAAGCUGAAACAUGACCAGAUCCAGCCACCGCUCUUCUUCGGAGGAGCGAUGGGGCUACGUUAUCAGGAAGUGUCAACGUUCGUACCGGAGGAUGCGCGGCCAGUCUUCCGCUCUACAACCAGCAGGUUAAACAGACCGUGGGUAUAGUCAGUGCUUGCUGGAUGUACCGCCUGAUAACAUCAUCGAGGCCACCAUCAC